CAAUAGCGUAUAUUUAAGUUGUUGCAGUUAAAAAGCUCGUAGCUGGAUUUCGGAUGGGACUUGCCGGUCCGUCGUUUCGAUGUGCACUGGCCAGUCCUAUCUUGUUGUCGGGGACUAGCUCCUGGGCUUCACUGUCCGGGACUAGGAGCUGACGAGGUUACUUUGAGUAAAUUAGAGUGUUCAAAGCAAGCCUACGCUCUGAAUACAUUAGCAUGGAAUAACACGAUAGGACUCUGGCUUAUCUUGUUGGUCUGUGAGACCAGAGUAAUGAUUAAGAGGGACAGUCGGGGGCAUUCGUAUUUCAUUGUCAGAGGUGAAAUUCUUGGAUUUAUGAAAGACGAACUUCUGCGAAAGCAUUUGUCAAGGAUGUUUUCAUUAA
Molecule: ribosomal RNA, 379 nt
Filed under: uncultured eukaryote
Lineage: Eukaryota
Description: partial 18S ribosomal RNA
Rfam family: Eukaryotic small subunit ribosomal RNA
Source: RNAcentral